CCUUUAACUCAUCUUGUAUAUCAAGCAAUUGAAUAGAAUGUCACUCACUUCUUAUACACAGGCAUGAUAUAUUUUAGUUCCACAAAUCUAUCAACAAGCUUUCAUCUUUCAUAUAUAUAUAUAUAUAUAUAUAUAUAUAUAUAAGCUUAUGUAUAUUUUACUAAAUCAGCAGCCCAUGUUAAAGAAACACAUACAUGAAUUUAUGGAAUAGCUUUUCACAAGUUUUACAUAUACACAAAUGCUUUUAAGAAAAACUGUAUUAGUAAAUAGAAGAGAAGAAGAAGAAUGCUAUACGUUUGUUGGGUGUGUGAGCCGGGUCUGGAGAGGGUCGACGGAUGGCGGUGGUGGUGGCUACGAAAGCUGCUACUGCCCGGCCGAGGCAGGGGAGUGAUACGGCGGUCGGGGGCGGCUCAUCGCUGUUGUCCGUCCGGCGCAAGUAAAAGAGAGGAGGCGAUGGAAAUUAGGGGUUUCGGGCUGAGGUCGGCGGCGUCACGUGUGGCGGAGCGGUCGCCGGGAAUCGGUGGAUUUGGGAAAAGUGGACUAGGGCAUAGCAACGACUCUGCUGCAGCUGUUCGGCCGAGGACGGGCGAAGAGAGUAAGAUGAGGCGGCGGCUUGGAGGCUAUAGUCGCCGGAGGAGAAGAGGGAAGGCAGACUGCGGCGGACUCCGCUGUUUCGCCGGAGAGAGAGAGAGCCGCGGCGGUGGGUUCCGGCUGGAAAGGGGCGGAGUAUUUGUGUGUGUUCUGAUGAGGGAGAUCGAGGAAGAUGGAGGCGGCAGCCUUCCAGCCUUGAAUUCGCCGGAAGGCAGACUGCGGCGGCCGAGCUUUGAGAGAGUUUUUGGUCUGAACCGAGAGAGGCGCGAGGGAGAGAUGAGCUGUUUGUGUGUGCGUGUGUUUCUUUGAAGAGAGAGAAAGAGAUCUGAAAUUGUGAGGGAGAAGAGAGAGGGAUAAGAAACGUAGAGAGAGAGAGAUAAAUGGGCUUAAAUUUGGGCCUCCACUUUGGGCCAAAGUUUUAAAACAAACUAAAAUUGGGCUUUUGUAUGGGCCGAUUUUAUUGGUUUUAUUUUCUGUUGGGCCGAAAAUAUAGAAGGAAAGUGAAUGGGCUUAAGUCAGUUUGGGCUUGAGUUUUGGGGCUAUUUUUGUUGGGCUCGUUUAAAUGAUUUUAAUUAGUCUGGACUGAUCUUUUUUUAUAAACUGGGCUGCGUUUUAUUUAAUUGUUCGGGCUCUGAAUUAUUUUAUUGAGCCAAUAAAUUUAUUAGAUUUCACACUUUAUAAUUAGUUUAAUUAAUUUAUUUCAAAGACUAGUUUUCAUAAUAAUAUUAAAUUAUUAUUAUUAUGUGCAUAUUUUAAGUAAUUUCUUAUUAUAUGCCAAGCAUGACAUGAAUUUGCAUUAUAUUUUUGCAAUAAGAGUAUUUAAGAUUUAAUUGGUUUUAUUUAUAAUUCCAAUUAUUAAAGAAAGAUGAGUAAGAAUAUUGUUGGUGUUUUUAACUCAAGAGAAAUGUUUUCAAUUAUUUAUUCAUUAAAUUUUGAAAACCGACUAAGUGAAUCAUAGAAUGUUAAGCACUACACCAUGACUUAAGAUUAGAUUCAAGGAGACCUAUUAAGAAUAGAAUUUCUUGUAGGCUUUGUGACCAGGGGGACUAGCGCUGCUUUCCCAAGACAGGUUUUUAUGUGUAUGAUCUUCAGGCUUUGCCUAUCCAGGUUGAGCAGCUGAUGGAAUGGAAUGAUGUUGAGCGGGUGUUCUUUUGACAUUUCAAGAAAUGUAACCUUGAGUAUACAUCUUCAUAUGUAUAUCUCACACGUUUUUCCGCUGCAAACCACUUUGAUUAGAAUAACUCUAUGUUAUGAAGUUGUGACACGUGUUAUUGGGUAACCCACCUUAAUCAGUUCUCCUUUAUGUGUAUGUUUUAUAAGUAUCCAAAUGAUCAUAUAUGAUCCUAGCAUUUUAUCUAUGAGUGACAUUUCCAUA
Salvia miltiorrhiza (redroot sage) is the source of this 1966-nucleotide long non-coding RNA. RefSeq lists it as uncharacterized. The transcript has 2 exons. NCBI's taxonomy places the organism in Eukaryota, Viridiplantae, Streptophyta, Magnoliopsida, Lamiales, Lamiaceae. The record is from RefSeq and is a predicted model, not a curated record.